This 125-nucleotide small RNA is filed under the name Marmota monax (woodchuck). Lineage: Eukaryota; Metazoa; Chordata; Mammalia; Rodentia; Sciuridae. The record is from RNAcentral.
GCUGGACGUGGUGGCACACAUUUGUAAUCCCAGUAGCUUGGGAGGCUGAGGCAGGAGGAUCGCGAGUUCAAAGCUAGCCUCGGCAAAAGUGAGGCCCUAAGCAACACAGUGAGACCCUGUCUCUA